AACACCUCAGGAGCCUCUGACAAGCAGUGGGAGAGAAUCAGAUCCAGAGUCAUGUAUUGUGCAGGCUGUGUGUCUGAGUCCAAGUAACUUUUUCUGCUGUGUCAAACAACUUAAGGUGAAUGUCAUUACCAAGGUUCCCUCUCUUCCUGCUACUUGUUGGUAUUAUAAUGGCAGCAGUGGUAGGGAUGCUCUGGUUACACAGAGAAGAACCAAAGAUCAAG
Long non-coding RNA from Passer domesticus (house sparrow), 221 nucleotides. RefSeq lists it as uncharacterized. Lineage: Eukaryota; Metazoa; Chordata; Aves; Passeriformes; Passeridae. The transcript has 4 exons. The record is from RefSeq and is a predicted model, not a curated record.